RNAcentral lists this ribosomal RNA (383 nucleotides) under uncultured bacterium. RNAcentral's name for it is "bacterial SSU rRNA". It matches the Rfam family "Bacterial small subunit ribosomal RNA", at positions 30 to 417 of the family's 1533-position model. The record is from RNAcentral.
AUUGAACGCUGGCGGCAUGCCUUACACAUGCAAGUCGAACGGUAGAGUAGCAAUACUUGAGAGUGGCGAACGGGUGAGUAAUAUAUCGGAACGUGCCCAGUCGUGGGGGAUAACGUAGAGAAAUUUACGCUAAUACCGCAUACGAUCUAAGGAUGAAAGCGGGGGAUUCGCAAGAACCUCGCGCGAUUGGAGCGGCUGAUAUCAGAUUAGGUUGUUGGUGAGGUAAAAGCUCACCAAGCCGACGAUCUGUAGCUGGUUUGAGAGAACGACCAGCCACACUGGGACUGAGACACGGCCCAGACUCCUACGGGAGGCAGCAGUGGGGAAUUUUGGACAAUGGGCGAAAGCCUGAUCCAGCAAUGCCGCGUGAGUGAUGAAGGCCU